AUUAGUGUGGAUAAUGGCUUUAAUAAAAGUUCACAACUUAUAAAAUAUAUCAUUUAAUGUGAAACCUUACAAACAUAGACUAAAGAUCACAACUUAAUACAAGUAUCUCUUUCAUUAACAAUUAUACAUUUACAAUCAUUAAUAAAGCAUUGUCUCUCUGCUUAGCACUGAGAUUUGUCAUAACAAAAAAAAUGGUUGAACAUCAACAGUAAAGCACUGCUUGUACAUGUAGUAAAAAAAUUAAAAGAGAUUGGAAAUCAGAAUAAAACACAAUGCUGAAACAAUUGUAUAUGUCCAAAAAAAAUAAUUGUUCUUAGUGGUUACCACCAUUGAAAGCACUCUUAGCUACAUCAUAGGGACCAAUUUUUUGUUCAUGUAGAAUUGCAGAGUACCUAGAAAGAACCACUGAACUUCAGCAGGAAAAUAUAUAAAAUAAGCCAAUUUUUCAUGAACCAUGAAAUAAAAACUUAAUGAAAGAGUAGACCUUUUGAGGUAAAAAGAUAACUACAUUGAGCAGUACUAUUUUGCAAGCUGUUGACAUUUUGACCCUUCCAACGGGACAAGUACACAACAUUUGAAGGCAAAUAAUCUACUGUAAAUUUAGAAAUUAUUGCAUUGUUUUUCUUUUUGCGAAAAAUGUAAUAAUUUAAACUCGCAUUUUGAAAUAUUUGUAUGAAUUAAACAGGAUUUUUCUCAAAAUCAUAAAAAAUGAAUAUCACAUUUAAAUCUUGAAUGACAAAAUCGUAAUAAUAAAUGCAUGCAAUAAUUUCUGAAUUUACAGUAUUCAACAAAUAUUUUAGUCUAUUUUUUUUAGCAGGCUUUGCGAUAAAGGAGCUCUUACAGCCAAUUGCAUUGAGUGUGUAGAUACUGAUAAAAUCUUUGGUUAGCUUCACAGUGGAGUCUUUAUAAGGUAAGGUAUACUACUACCCUCCUUUGGAAGUAGUCUAGUCCUAGAGACAUAGAUUGGUUAACAGUCAAACUAGUCUACUUUUAAGGGAGGGUAGUUUACAUAACCUGAUUAUGACUUCACAGUUCAACUAUCAAGCAAGCUUAUCAAAGAUAUUACCUUUACCUACAUACUCAAUAAAAUUACCUGUAAUACGUGUUGACUUUUGAUAUUGUAAGCAGGUUUAACAGCAAUAUAGUGAAUUUAAAUACAUCAAUGUAUAAACUGUCUCCUCUGUAAAAUGGGACCGUAUAUUUGUGAUUUAUUAAUUCUUUAAUUAUUAUAAUGAAUCCUCUCUUUGCUACAAUGCAGUGUGUUCUCAGUACAUUUUAACAGAUUUGUGAAGGAAAUUAUAAACCAAAGUUACAUUUAAUAAAUGAAGCUCUUCAUAUAAUUUAUUAAAAACAUAAAAUUGCAAAACAAAAUAACAUUUUAGACAAACCACAAUUUAGACCAUACAACCCACCAAUAAUAUUAUCUGCAUAUUGUAAUAAAUGGUUAUUAUACAGUGAAGAAAAGCAAAUGAACUGAAACAUUGGAGUAUUUACAACUACUGGUUCAUUAUAAAAUCCUAUCUGUAAUUCUAUAAAGCACCUAAAAUUCUGCAUUCUUAGGCUUUUAUACCACAAAAACAUAAAUACUAAAUGGCAACUUGUAGAGCUGGAAUGAUUCCAAUCAUGCAUUUGAUUUACACAUGUUCUAAUAUAACUAAGCUGGUCCUGUAUAGUCAUGCAUAUGAUAAUUGCAACUGGGUGUUAAGCAAAACACAAUCCCUUGUCAACUAUAACUUAGCAUAUGAAUCCCAACUGCAUCAGGACUUUGACUUAGGCUUAGUGUUUAUUUCUCAUGUUUUUAUUACUAAAGAAUAUUUUGAUAACACAUUAAAUUAAAGCUGACCGUGCAAGGGCUGUACAGCUAGUCAAGGUUGUUAAAAGGUCCCGUUAUCAUACCACAUUUCAGUUCUAAAAAGAUAUCUGACAAAUGUAUGCACUAAAAAGUUUAAUUACCAUUAACAAUCUCAGAUCCAUUUUUAUUGGCACAUUUGUGAUAAUUUUCAACUUUCUGAAUUGUAAGUAAAACAACAAUAACGAUACCAAGAGGGAAGAGAUACCACCAAUCAUAUGAUUUAGACAUCCUUAGGUCAACUGGAGCAGAACAAAGCUUAGAUUUAGUUGAGUCCUGGAAUGUAUGAAAAGUGUCUAAUUACUAAAUAAAAAUUCCCUUCAAUCUUGUCAAACAUUAGAAUUAUAUAAUUUUCCUAAUUCCCUAAUAUUAGUUCUGAUUCCAUCUUAUUAACCCUUACCAUGCGGAUCCCGUCUUUUGACGGGUUUGACGUCGUCGUUCUCAGUGCGGAACCCGUCUUUUGACGGGUUACACUGGCAAUUUUCUGACCUUUCAAAAAACCUUCAAAUCCUCGCAUAAUCACAAAACUCCGAGUUUAAAUUUGAAUGAGCCAUCAGAUCUAUAUCCAUUAUUCAAUUUGAACCAUUUUAAGUCUUUAUAAUAAACAAAUAUACACUUUAAUUUUACUUUCAGGAAAAUAAAUUGUUUUUGACAUGACGUAAAAAAUCUAAAAAUACAUCUUGUAAUAAAAUUUCUAUGAAAAAUUGCAAAAUAAAAUGUACAGGCCUAAAUUACAGAUAAAAAAAGACAUUGAGUACCUUUAAUAUAUAUAUAUAUAUGUAUAUAUGCAGUUUAGAAAAAAUUGCACACGACAACAACACAUAAUUACAUGACGAUAUGCAUCUGAGUAACAAAUAACAAGCUAAAGAUUGACUUUUAGGCAUUUUACACAUUUAGUUGGUGUAUUUAUAACACUUUAUAUAGAUAUAAGAACAUGUGGUAUGAGUGUCAAGAGACAACUCUCCAUUCAAAUCACAAUUUGUUAAAAAAAAAAAUAUAUGUACAUUAAUGUAUACUGUAAAUUUGGAAAUUAUUGUGAGGUUUUUAUAAACGUUAAAUAAUGUGACUCCUUGAUUAUUGCAAUAAUGAUAACUUGCAUUAAGAUAUUGGAUGAAUUUAAUAUUAUGUAGCUUUCUUAAAUUGCAAUUAUUUAUAAAUGUUUGUUAAUUCUUCCAAAAUCUGUUUAAUAAAUGCAGGCAAUAAUUUCCAAAUUCACAGUAUUAAGAACUCAAUGCAUUGUUAUCAUUCAAGAAAAAGAGACGUGACUAUUUCUUAAUUCAUAAUCAUGUAAUACAAUUUCUUUACCUCAUUGAAUAUAUUUGAGUUUUUAAAUGCAAUCAAACCUUAAAAUAAAGUCUUUCACAUACAAAAUCUCAGUUAAUGCUUAUACUUGUAGAAAACUAGUUUACAUGAAUUUCUUUUAGAAUAAAAUACAUCUGAAGUUUCAACUGGUGUAGAAUUUUAUUCUGUAUAUAAGUCUGAUAAAUGACUCCAAGCCUGAAAUGAACAACCCACAUUUAUAAUAUUCCUACAACCAUGAACUCAAGAAUCCCCUAACUCAAUAUUAAACAAAACUCAGAACUUAUAUCUAUGAGUUGUCCAUUUUACAGAAUCUAAUUAUCAAAUCAAUCUAUCUCCUAGUAAAAUAAAAGGAACACCCAGAAUUAAAUCAAUACAUUUGCAUUAUAGCAAAAUAUCAAGUAACCCAAGUCACAUUUAAACAGAUAGACAUGAGACAAAUAUCACACUAUACACUAUAUAAUUUGUACACACAUGUUUAACAUGUACACUACAUUGACUAUAAUAUAAAUAUAUGUAUUUAUCAUAUUUUAUUUUUAAUUUUGAGAAUACAGACUGAGGUUAUUUGAAGACAUUUAAAAUGUAUUUAUUUCAACAUAAACCUGAUAAAUGUAAAAACAAUAGCAUGUGAGUUAUAUCUGAUGAUUCAAUAAUGUGACAAACCAGUCUUAAAGCUUUUUUAGGAUAGGAGAGAAUAGAGAAUAGAAAAAUAAAAAGAUAAAUAAAAAUUCAAACAAAAAAAUAUAAAAAUAUACUCUUUUCCAAUGAAAGGAGCAUUUGCUGAAACAAAAAAGCCAAGUACUGUUCUAUUGAUAAUCAUGGGAUAACAAUUUUAGUGAAUUUUGUGAAAAAUAAAAAAAAAGUGAGUACCUCCCUUUAUUUGAUUUGUAUUAACCACAUUCACAGUCCAUUUGGGACUUUUCUAUUUACGUUACAUGUUUUGGCAGGUUUAUUUUCAGCAAAAGUAUAAUAAAUAAAAGAAAGAACACAUUUAUGGUUCAAAAUUUAGAUUUUUAAACUACAAAUACACAUUUCUGGUUUUAAUAGUAACAUGAAGACAAUUUUACUAUCCAAGGGAUGAAUUUGCCUACCAAUACAAAUUGAUAAACUAUUGAUAUAAAUCACAACACACUUGACAAAAUGCCCAAUCUUUCACAGAUCAAAAGCAUUGUAAAUAAGGUCAUCAUAAAAUUUAUAUCUAAGCUAUGUAUAACACAAAAAUUCUUAAAGAUUAUACUGUUAUAAUAUCAAGACCUAAUUUAUGCACAAUUUUCCAUUCGACUGGAAGCUAUGAAAAGAUAUCUGAGUACACAUGAUUACAACAUAAAUGCAAUGUGUCUAUAAUUUCAAUCAAAGAUUCAUUGUCUUAAGUCUUAUCACAUAAUUAUAAAACAUUUGUAUG
Molecule: long non-coding RNA, 4550 nt
Filed under: Mytilus galloprovincialis (Mediterranean mussel)
Lineage: Eukaryota; Metazoa; Mollusca; Bivalvia; Mytilida; Mytilidae
Source: RNAcentral